AUUGAACGCUGGCGGCAUGCUUUACACAUGCAAGUCGAACGGCAGCGCGGGCUUCGGCCUGGCGGCGAGUGGCGAACGGGUGAGUAAUGCAUCGGAACGUGCCCAGUAGUGGGGGAUAGCCCGGCGAAAGCCGGAUUAAUACCGCAUACGACCUGAGGGUGAAAGCGGGGGACCGAAAGGCCUCGCGCUAUUUGAGCGGCCGAUGUCGGAUUAGCUAGUUGGUGGGGUAAAGGCUUACCAAGGCGACGAUCCGUAGCUGGUCUGAGAGGACGACCAGCCACACUGGGACUGAGACACGGCCCAGACUCCUACGGGAGGCAGCAGUGGGGAAUUUUGGACAAUGGGGGCAACCCUGAUCGAGCCAUGCCGCGUGCGGGAAGAAGGCCUUCGGGUUGUAAACCGCUUUUGUUCGGGAAGAAAUCCUCUGGGCUAAUACCCCGGGGGGAUGACGGUACCGGAAGAAUAAGCACCGGCUAACUACGUG
Molecule: ribosomal RNA, 484 nt
Filed under: uncultured bacterium
Lineage: Bacteria
Description: partial 16S ribosomal RNA
Rfam family: Bacterial small subunit ribosomal RNA
Source: RNAcentral